RNAcentral lists this ribosomal RNA (253 nucleotides) under uncultured bacterium. RNAcentral's name for it is "partial 16S ribosomal RNA". It matches the Rfam family "Bacterial small subunit ribosomal RNA", at positions 524 to 776 of the family's 1533-position model. The record is from RNAcentral.
UACGAAGGGGGCUAGCGUUGCUCGGAAUCACUGGGCGUAAAGCGCACGUAGGCGGAUUGCUAAGUCAGGGGUGAAAUCCUGGAGCUCAACUCCAGAACUGCCUUUGAUACUGAGGAGCUUGAGUCCGGGAGAGGUGAGUGGAACUGCGAGUGUAGAGGUGAAAUUCGUAGAUAUUCGCAAGAACACCAGUGGCGAAGGCGGCUCACUGGCCCGGUACUGAAGCUGAGGUGCGAAAGCGUGGGGAGCAAACAGG